Molecule: ribosomal RNA, 467 nt
Filed under: uncultured bacterium
Lineage: Bacteria
Description: partial 16S ribosomal RNA
Rfam family: Bacterial small subunit ribosomal RNA
Source: RNAcentral
GACGAACGCUGGCGGCGUGCUUAACACAUGCAAGUCGAACGGAAAGGCCCUGCUUUUGUGGGGUGCUCGAGUGGCGAACGGGUGAGUAACACGUGAGUAACCUGCCCUUGACUUUGGGAUAACUUCAGGAAACUGGGGCUAAUACCGGAUAGGAGCUCCUGCUGCAUGGUGGGGGUUGGAAAGUUUCGGCGGUUGGGGAUGGACUCGCGGCUUAUCAGCUUGUUGGUGGGGUAGUGGCUUACCAAGGCUUUGACGGGUAGCCGGCCUGAGAGGGUGACCGGUCACAUUGGGACUGAGAUACGGCCCAGACUCCUACGGGAGGCAGCAGUGGGGAAUAUUGCACAAUGGGCGGAAGCCGGAUGCAGCAACGCCGCGUGCGGGAUGACGGCCUUCGGGUUGUAAACCGCUUUCGCCUGUGACGAAGCGUGAGUGACGGUAAUGGUAAAGAAGCACCGGCUAACUACGUG